AGGGUGAGCGUUUGAUUGAGUUGA
This 24-nucleotide non-coding RNA is filed under the name Gossypium hirsutum (cotton). Lineage: Eukaryota; Viridiplantae; Streptophyta; Magnoliopsida; Malvales; Malvaceae. The record is from RNAcentral.